Molecule: ribosomal RNA, 1432 nt
Filed under: metagenome
Description: bacterial SSU rRNA
Rfam family: Bacterial small subunit ribosomal RNA
Source: RNAcentral
AGAGUUUGAUCCUAGCUCAGGACGAACGCUGGCGGCGUGGAUAAGGCAUGCAAGUCAAAUGGGUUUGACGCAAGUCAGACCAGUGGCAAACGGGGUAGUAACACGUGGGUACGUACCUCGGAGACGGGUAUAACCAGCCGAAAGGUUGGAUAAUCCCCGAUAGUCCCGAAAGGGUAAGUCGUAAGACGCUCCGAGAACGGCCUGCGGGCUAUCAGCUAGUUGGUAGGGUAACGGCCUACCAAGGCUAUGACGGCUAGGGGGGGUGAGAGCCCGAUCCCCACCAAUGGUACUGCGACACGGACCAUACACCUACGGGUGGCAGCAGCCGAGAAUAUUCGACAAUGGGCGAAAGCCUGAUCGAGCGACGCCGCGUGCAGGAUGAAGUUCUUCGGGACGUAAACUGCUUUUGUAGGGGAAGAACGCAAGUGACUGUACCCUACGAAUAAGGACCUGCAAAUCUCGUGCCAGCAGCCGCGGUAAUACGAGAGGUCCAAGCGUUGUCCGGAUUAACUGGGCGUAAAGGGUGUGUAGGGGGUCGUGUUAGUCCUGCUUUAAAUCUCUGGGCCCAACCCAGAGGCCGGGUAGGAUGCGGUACGGCUGGAGGGUGCGAGAGGCGAGUGGAACUCACGGUGUAGGAGUGAAAUCCGUUGAAAUCGUGGGGAACACCAAAAGCGAAGCCAACUCGUUGGCGCAUACCUGACCCUGAAACACGAAAGCGUGGGGAUCAAAAAGGAUUAGAUACCCUUGUAGUCCACGCCCUAAACGAUGAUGACUAGCUAUCGGAAGUAUCGACCCUUUCGGUGGCGAAGCUAACGCGUUAAGUCAUCCGCCUGGGAAGUACGGCCGCAAGGCUAAAACUCAAAGGAAUAGACGGGGACUCGCACAAGCGGUGGAGCAUGUGGUUUAAUUCGAUGUUAAACGAAGAACCUCACCAGGGCUUGAAACCACGACGACGGUCUGGGGAAACCUAGACUUUCUCACAAGGACGGCGUGGCAGGUGCUGCAUGGUUGUCGUCAGUUCGUGUUGUGAAAUGUUCCCUUCAGUGGGGCAACGGACGCAACCCCUGUUGCCUGUUACAUGUGUCAGGCGAGACUGCCCAGCUCAGCUGGGAGGAAGGAGGGGAUGACGCCAAAUCAGCAUGGCCCUUUGAUGCCCUGGGCUACACACGUGCUACAAUGGAGCGCACAAUGGGUCGCGAAGCCGCGAGGCGGAGCAAAUCCCUAAAAACGCUCCUCAGUUCGGAUUGGAGUCUGCAACUCGACUCCAUGAAGUUGGAAUCGCUAGUAAUCGCAGGUCAGCUAUACUGCGGUGAAUACGUUCUCGAGUCUUGUACUCACCGCCCGUCACUUCAAGGAAGCCGGGAGUACCCGAAAACUCGCUUCGGCGGGGCUAAGGUAAGCUCGGUGACAGGGAAGAAGUCGUAACAAGGCA